RNAcentral lists this unclassified non-coding RNA (224 nucleotides) under Hevea brasiliensis (rubber tree). The record is from RNAcentral. Lineage: Eukaryota; Viridiplantae; Streptophyta; Magnoliopsida; Malpighiales; Euphorbiaceae.
UGACAACAGGAAGGGCUACAAGGCCGGAGCACUGAGAGAGGGGAUGAAGCACGGCUAUGUCAACCAAUGUGAUUAUGUUGUGAUCUUCGAUGCCGACUUCCAACCUGAUCCGGAUUAUCUUUGGCGAGCAAUUCCUUUCUUGGUUCACAAUCCAAAAAUUGCCCUCGUCCAGGGCCGAUGGGUGUUUGUGAAUGCUGAUGAGAACCUGAUGACAAGGAUGCAGG